GCUAUGGCGAUAAGGAUGAGCGUGCGCAAAGAUUAGCUAGUUGGUGAGGUAACGGCUCACAAGGCGACGAUCUUUAGCUGAUGUGAGAGCAUGAUCAGCCACACGGGCACUGAGACACGGGCCCGACUCCUACGGGAGGCAGCAGUGAGGAAUAUUGGUCAAUGGACGGAAGUCUGAACCAGCCAUGCCGCGUGAAGGAUGAAGGCGUUCUGCGUUGUAAACUUCUUUUAUUUAGGAAGAAACCACCGAUUUCUAUUGGUGUUGACGGUAUUAAAUGAAUAAGCACCGGCUAACUCCGUG
RNAcentral lists this ribosomal RNA (300 nucleotides) under uncultured bacterium. Its description in RNAcentral is "bacterial SSU rRNA". It matches the Rfam family "Bacterial small subunit ribosomal RNA", at positions 209 to 507 of the family's 1533-position model. The record is from RNAcentral.